GAAGGGGUGUAUUUAUUAGAUAAAAAACCAAUGCCCUUCGGGGCUCUUUGGUGAUUCAUGAUAACUUUACGGAUCGCAUAGCCUUGCGCUGGCGACGGUUCAUUCAAAUUUCUGCCCUAUCAACUUUCGAUGGUAAGGUAUUGGCUUACCAUGGUUUCAACGGGUAACGGGGAAUUAGGGUUCGAUUCCGGAGAGGGAGCCUGAGAAACGGCUACCACAUCCAAGGAAGGCAGCAGGCGCGCAAAUUACCCAAUCCCGACACGGGGAGGUAGUGACAAUAAAUACUGAUACAGGGCUCUUUUGGGUCUUG
Molecule: ribosomal RNA, 310 nt
Filed under: ascomycete sp. ODP62603fw1
Lineage: Eukaryota; Fungi; Ascomycota
Description: SSU rRNA
Rfam family: Eukaryotic small subunit ribosomal RNA
Source: RNAcentral